RNAcentral lists this small nuclear RNA (18 nucleotides) under Arabidopsis thaliana (thale cress). RNAcentral describes it as "snRNA_18977". Lineage: Eukaryota; Viridiplantae; Streptophyta; Magnoliopsida; Brassicales; Brassicaceae. The record is from RNAcentral.
UUAUUAUUGAAAAUUAAA